RNAcentral lists this long non-coding RNA (2103 nucleotides) under Nicotiana tabacum (common tobacco). RNAcentral describes it as "long non-coding RNA (NTAB_LNC004801)". The record is from RNAcentral. Lineage: Eukaryota; Viridiplantae; Streptophyta; Magnoliopsida; Solanales; Solanaceae.
ACCCGUACUAAUAGACAUUUCAUGAAUCAAACACCUUCUAUUUUCUAGGCCUAAACAAUAUUACAACAUAUAAGCUUUGAAUCAUUAAACCAUAAACUCUACAUAUUUUUUACUUCAAAUUGAAACCCAUGAUGUAAACUUCACCCUCAUAUGUGUAAAGAAACGACAGUAGUAGGCAUAUUCAAUUCGAAACUUCAUAGCUAACAUUAAUGCCUGACUAACAGUGGUUUUACAACAGGGUGAGUGAGCAAUCAAUAGCAACUAGUCCAAUUAGUGAGUAAUCAUAGCUUAACUAUUCAACUCAAACAAACAAAUGUAAUUAGCUACUCAUCGAGAAACAAAGAUGAAACAUAUUUCACAUUCAAACAGCAGGAACAUAUAGAAGUAGACAUGGUCAGGGAAUCAAUAUAUCAAGUUUUCAUUUCUAUACUCUAACAAAAGUUUGCAUAUGGAAAUUUACAUACCUAUAAGCAAGAAAUAGUCAGUAAAUGGCCAAAUAAAGGCUAAAAACCGGAGAUUACGCUCAUCAGACUCAGAAACCAGCAGCAAGUAAACAGAAAACCAACAAUGAAAUCCCAGAAUGAACCUCGACCUCAGUUCAAAAUUAUCUUAAGAAGACCAAAGUUGAUGAAGAAAAUCAAAACUUCUAAAACCUAUGUGAAUGAGUGUAUAUCUAUGAAAAAUGUAGAAUUCAUGUGUGUUUUUGUUCUGGAAAAAAAUGCAGAGAGAUGUUGAGAGGAGAGUGAGCUAAUGAAAAUCGGUAUUGUGAUGUGUGUGUCCUGGUAAAAAUGCAGGGGGGUCCCUUAUAUAGAAUAUGAGGGUAUACUCUAUGAGAGAAUGAGAGAGGGCCUAGGAGAAUUCUGCCAGCCUCCUAAAAAUUAGGGAAAUAACAUCUUUUCUUAACAAAAAUGGACAGAUGUCCAACUUUUCAGAUAUUCUUCCUAUUUUUCAGCAUCUUUUCUAACAUAAUUUGGUACAGUUGUUCUUUUCAUAUAUUCUUCUCUAUUUACAGCCCCCUAAAAAUCUGAAUUUGAUACUUUUUACCCAAAUCUGACCUAAUUUCUUUGUCUUAUUGCACUUUAACCCCUCUCUAGAAGCUUCUUACUCAACUACUCAAGAUUCCUAAUUUUCUUACUUCUUUUAACACCCCUGGUAUUUUAGUAACUACAAACAGCUAUCACAAAAACUUAGAUGGAUUAAAAAUCACAGCACAACAAACAAUAUUCAAACUUCAACCUAUUUUAGAUUAUUAACUUAAUUUAAACAUGUAAUUAACUAAUCAAGUUCGCUUUAGCCUAUUUAAACUGACUGUUAUGCAUCUAAAAUAUUGACCUAACACAGAAUUAAUAAAUUUUAAAUCCUAACUAAUCUAGAACAUGCUAAACAUAUGGGAAAAACACACUAAUAAUCAACUAUUGAUGCAACCUUAAACAGCUAUCAAUUGAUAAUUUAGCAAAGUCGACUAGGUAUAAUUGAAACUAAACUAAACAUGUUGUUAAUUGAACUAAGACUAAUCUAUAACAUGUAAUACAAUUAAUCAAAACACAAAAUAUCAAUCAAUUAGUCAAUCAGGCAGUUAAGUAAAGAAGUGAAAAGAAGGAUUACCAAUAGAAAAUAAAACUGCCCGAAAAAGAGAUAUUCAGCUAACAACCGACAUCGCUACAUGAGCAUUAGCCCACACUCGAAGCGUAGCCAAUGCUAUACGCGACGAUGUAUGCCAUACACCGGCAAAAGAAAGCAGCAUUAUGGGACUUUCAUGGCAGUGGCCAGAUUCUGGUGGUCUGGUAUAGGCCAACACUGACUCCAAUUGAUAAAUCUCAACGAGAGUGUUCGAUUAGUGUUGGUAUGAACCUAAGGUAGGCCGGAAUUUGGAAAAACUCGAAAUGGUGGUGGAUUUAGGUUUUUGUGACUUCUUAGAUCUAAAACCUACGGAGUUGUAGGGAUUUCUGAAGGAAAUGGUUUGGGGAUUAGGAAUGAGGAGGAGAAGGGGAUUGUAGGGUAACGAUUUGGGGUCGUUUAGCGACUGCCCGCCGCUGUAGGGCAAUUUUCGGCGGCGGCUCUGAGAGAGAGUGAGAGAUGAGAGAUGAGGGGGGGAAAUAAAAC